Molecule: unclassified non-coding RNA, 200 nt
Filed under: soil metagenome
Description: partial contains internal transcribed spacer 2 and large subunit ribosomal RNA
Source: RNAcentral
UGCCGUGGUUUCGACGGCUCGUCUGAAAUGCCUGAGUGUACCCCGCUUUGCGGCGCAUUCGGUGUGAUAUAUCUUCACCGGAGUUGACCCGAAAGGAUCGCGCCUGUAAUGGUGUGGCUCUAUGCUUUCCAACCGUCCUUGACAAGGACAAUCUCUGACAAUUUGACCUCAAAUCGGGUGGGGCUACCCGCUGAACUUAA